GACGAACGCUGGCGGCGUGCUUAACACAUGCAAGUCGAACGGAAAGGCCCUGCUUUUGUGGGGUGCUCGAGUGGCGAACGGGUGAGUAACACGUGAGUAACCUGCCCUUGACUUUGGGAUAACUUCAGGAAACUGGGGCUAAUACCGGAUAGGAGCUCCUGCUGCAUGGUGGGGGUUGGAAAGUUUCGGCGGUUGGGGAUGGACUCGCGGCUUAUCAGCUUGUUGGUAGGGUAGUGGCUUACCAAGGCUUUGACGGGUAGCCGGCCCGAGAGGGUGACCGGCCACAUUGGGACUGAGAUACGGCCCAGACUCCUACGGGAGGCAGCAGUGGGGAAUAUUGCACAAUGGGCGGAAGCCUGAUGCAGCAACGCCGCGUGCGGGAUGACGGCCUUCGGGUUGUAAACCGCUUUCGCCUGUGACGAAGCGUGAGUGACGGUAAUGGGUAAAGAAGCACCGGCUAACUACGUG
This 468-nucleotide ribosomal RNA is filed under the name uncultured bacterium. RNAcentral's name for it is "partial 16S ribosomal RNA". It matches the Rfam family "Bacterial small subunit ribosomal RNA", at positions 28 to 507 of the family's 1533-position model. The record is from RNAcentral.